GUGCUCGCUUCAGUAGAACAUAUACUAAAAUCAGAACAAUAUAGAGAAGAUUAGCCUGGCCCCUGUGCAACAGUGACAUGCAAAUUCAUGAAACGUUCUGUAAUUUU
Small nuclear RNA from Grammomys surdaster, 107 nucleotides. Lineage: Eukaryota; Metazoa; Chordata; Mammalia; Rodentia; Muridae. The record is from RefSeq and is a predicted model, not a curated record.